Cervus elaphus (red deer) is the source of this 1689-nucleotide long non-coding RNA. RefSeq lists it as uncharacterized. NCBI's taxonomy places the organism in Eukaryota, Metazoa, Chordata, Mammalia, Artiodactyla, Cervidae. The transcript has 2 exons. The record is from RefSeq and is a predicted model, not a curated record.
GAAAGCGCCAGUUUCCCUUUGGCUUGGAUUUUACAUCUUGGCGUCAGAAGUAGGGAAAGAGAGAUAGACAGCCAUCACGGGCAGUUGACCUGACCACUGAGUGUUUAUUUCGUCUUUAAAGGAGGCACCUGGAAUAGAUGACCUCUCAGGCUCCUUUCAGCUCCCGAGCUCUCUGGACCUCAGCCAGGUCAGUGAGCUCUCCUUUGGACUAUGCUGUCCAUGGCAGGACUGGGAUGAAGAUGGAGUAUGUGUGCUCAUUUUUCAUGAAUUUUCCCCGUACUUGGAAAUUGAUCAUUUCCAAAUUCCAGAUCCUUGGGCCAGCUAUCCUCUUAUCAUCUUCUUCUUUGGGGGCAGAAAAUGGGAGCAAACAUUUGAGUUGACUCAUGAAACUUAAUUAGGCAAAAGAUAGAGAACUGUUUAAUAAUGUUGGAUUGGACCCCCUCCGGUUGCCUGAGGCUCCUCAUCUGAGCCUCUCCCCUGGUUCCUCUCCUGUUGCCUGCUUCCUCACUCUAACUGUGCCAGACGCUCUUGCUCACAGGACUGUCCCCUGUCCCUGUCCCCACUGUGAGCUCCUGUGUCCCCUGCCCCUCUCUGUGGGGUUGCCUGAUUCAAGGCUCUUGAUAAGUGCCCAUCCUUCUGAGGAGGGGUGAAGGGUGAUGUGUCAGGGUGACUCCCUAGGUGCACCAGCGAGGGGCUUGGUGACCAAAUGGGGGAGCCCCAUGAACACAAUGAAGCCCUGUCCUCCUGUUUUCAUGUAGACCCCAUGGCUCUCCCAGGAGCACACCUGAUAGUGGAUGGUGUUGUGUUCAUUGGUACCUGCUGGGGCCCAGCAUUUAACCGGCAGCUGGAAAAUCUCCUGUGUGCAGCAGGCUGAAAAGAAGGAAAAAUGCCUCUUGCCCCUUUGAGAUAAUAUAAGAAAUUCAAGGUGAAUAAUUGCAUAGUAAGAGUAGAGCCCUAAGGGACUUCCCUGGUUGUCCAGUGGUUAAGAAUCUGCCAUCCAACGCAAGGGACACGGCUUCGAUCGAGGAUGCCCCGGUGGAGGAUGCCCUGAUCCCAUAUGCCUCAGGGCAACUAAGCCCACACACUGCAACUAAGACCCAACGCAACCAAAAAAAAAAAAAAAAAGUAGAACCCCCCUGAAUCAGAAAGGUGGAUUGAAGAAUUUUAAUCUCUUAGGACCUGGGUGUCAGCAGGAAAACAUGGCUGAGCUCUCAAGUCCUGAGGGGCUGUGAGUAUGUGGGCCGUUCUAGAAGUCAGUUAAAGAAGAUAUUGCCUUCAGCAAAGUCACAGGUGCCAGAUAAAUAGCACAAGUGUCUGUUAAAUCAGUGUCAGGCUCAGAGAGAGACUCAGCAUGAGGUUUCCAGAGUCCAGGAAAAGCCUAAAAACUGCAGGACAUCACGUGUUGCUGGCAGCCUUUGGGUUAAAAACCAAAAAAGGUGGUUCUUAAACAAGGUCCCAGAGAGAGCAGGAGCCGAUAUUGAUCCUUCAUCAGCUAAAGCUCAAUGAGGCUGCCCUUCUCAGCUGCAAGUGACCCAGGAAGCUGGACUCCUCUUGGACUGAGCAUCGGUGGAACUACACGUAAAUAAAGAACAUGUGUGUAUUCCAAACUCAUCAAAUUGUGUACAUUAAGUACCUUCAGCUUUUUGUGUGUCAGUCAUACCUCAAUAAAAUGAUUUUUUAAAAAGAAUA